This 253-nucleotide ribosomal RNA is filed under the name uncultured bacterium. Its description in RNAcentral is "partial 16S ribosomal RNA". It matches the Rfam family "Bacterial small subunit ribosomal RNA", at positions 524 to 776 of the family's 1533-position model. The record is from RNAcentral.
UACGUAGGGGGCAAGCGUUAUCCGGAUUCACUGGGCGUAAAGGGAGCGCAGGCGGCACGGCAAGUCUGGUGUGAAAGCCCGGGGCCCAACCCCGGGACUGCAUUGGAAACUGCCGGGCUGGAGUGCCGGAGGGGUAAGCGGAAUUCCUAGUGUAGCGGUGAAAUGCGUAGAUAUUAGGAGGAACACCAGUGGCGAAGGCGGCCUACUGGACGGUGACUGACGCUGAGGCUCGAAAGCGUGGGGAGCAAACAGG